Molecule: small nuclear RNA, 129 nt
Filed under: Coccopigya hispida
Lineage: Eukaryota; Metazoa; Mollusca; Gastropoda; Cocculinidae
Description: partial U2 snRNA
Rfam family: U2 spliceosomal RNA
About the family: U2 is a small nuclear RNA (snRNA) component of the spliceosome (involved in pre-mRNA splicing). Complementary binding between U2 snRNA (in an area lying towards the 5' end but 3' to hairpin I) and the branchpoint sequence (BPS) of the intron results the bulging out of an unpaired adenosine, on the BPS, which initiates a nucleophilic attack at the intronic 5' splice site, thus starting the first of two transesterification reactions that mediate splicing.
Source: RNAcentral
CAAAGUGUAGUAUCUGUUCUUAUCAGCUUAAUAUCUGAUACGUCCUCCAUCGGAGGACUUCGAUAUUAAACUGAUUUUUGGAACACGGCGAAGUGUCAGGGGCUUGCUCCGUCUUUGCCACGGGUUGAC